GUGGGGAAUAUUGGACAAUGGGCGCAAGCCUGAUCCAGCCAUGCCGCGUGAGUGAUGAAGGCCUUAGGGUUGUAAAGCUCUUUCAGUGGGGACGAUAAUGACGGUACCCACAGAAGAAGCCCCGGCUAACUUCGUGCCAGCAGCCGCGGUAAUACGAAGGGGGCUAGCGUUGUUCGGAUUUACUGGGCGUAAAGCGCACGUAGGCGGAUCGUUAAGUCGGGGGUGAAAUCCUGGAGCUCAACUCCAGAACUGCCUUCGAUACUGGCGAUCUUGAGUCCGGAAGACGUGAGUGGAACUCCUAGUGUAGAGGUGGAAUUCGUAGAUAUUAGGAAGAACACCAGUGGCGAAGGCGGCUCACUGGUCCGGUACUGACGCUGAGGUGCGAAAGCGUGGGGAGCAAACAGGAUUAGAACCCCCUGUAGUCC
RNAcentral lists this ribosomal RNA (425 nucleotides) under uncultured bacterium. Its description in RNAcentral is "partial 16S ribosomal RNA". It matches the Rfam family "Bacterial small subunit ribosomal RNA", at positions 354 to 796 of the family's 1533-position model. The record is from RNAcentral.